GACGAACGCUGGCGGCGUGCCUAACACAUGCAAGUCGAACGGGGUGAUUCCUUCGGGGAUCACUUAGUGGCGAACGGGUGAGUAACGCGUGAGAAACCUGCCUUUCAGUGGGGGACAACAGUUGGAAACGACUGCUAAUACCGCAUAAUGUUAUCGAGCGGCAUCGCUUGAUAACCAAAGCUUUAUGUGCUGAAAGAUGGUCUCGCGUCUGAUUAGCUAGUUGGUGAGGUAACGGCUCACCAAGGCGACGAUCAGUAGCCGGUCUGAGAGGAUGAACGGCCACAUUGGGACUGAGAUACGGCCCAGACUCCUACGGGAGGCAGCAGUGGGGAAUAUUGGGCAAUGGGGGAAACCCUGACCCAGCAACGCCGCGUGAAGGAAGAAGGCCUCGGUUGUAAACGUUCUUUUACCUAGGGACGAACACAAUAGACGGUACCUGGAGAAAAAGACAACGGCUAACUAACGUG
This 467-nucleotide ribosomal RNA is filed under the name uncultured bacterium. RNAcentral's name for it is "bacterial SSU rRNA". It matches the Rfam family "Bacterial small subunit ribosomal RNA", at positions 28 to 507 of the family's 1533-position model. The record is from RNAcentral.